GGCUAGAUGGCCCAGUGUUUAGAGCACCAGACCUGGAGUCUGGAGGACCUGGGUUCAAAUCUCAACUCAGACA
Molecule: transfer RNA, 73 nt
Filed under: Monodelphis domestica (gray short-tailed opossum)
Lineage: Eukaryota; Metazoa; Chordata; Mammalia; Didelphimorphia; Didelphidae
Rfam family: tRNA
About the family: Transfer RNA (tRNA) molecules are approximately 80 nucleotides in length. Their secondary structure includes four short double-helical elements and three loops (D, anti-codon, and T loops).
Source: Rfam by way of RNAcentral